GAGAAGGGGACAGAGGAUCCCAAGCAGGCUCUACACCAACAGCCUGACAGCAGCGAGCGGGAUGCGGGACUCAAAGGACCACAAGAUCCUGACCUGAGCUGAAGUCAGACUCUCAACUGACUGAGCCACCCAGGUCAGAUCAGCUCCGUCUGGGCUUGUUCUAAGAAUGGACCGAGUGACAGAAGUGCCAUCAAGAGGGCUGGGGGAACCUGAAGCUUAACCAGAAAGAGCAUCUUAUGGUGGAGAAAGGGGUGAGGAAUGUCUGCAGAUUCUGGACUUUGGACUCAAAUCUCAGCAACUCAGUGGUGUGGUCAGAUUUAGAUUCCCCUGUCUCAGGAGUGGAGUCACAUAUAUAACAGGCCCACAGAUGAUGCCUAAGCUGGAUGUCAGUGUAUAAUUUACCCUGAGCUGAACCAAUAGCAUGUGGCCCAUGUUCAUGGAAGCCAAAGCUCACCCAGAAGUUUGCUCUCAAGCACGGAAGAAGGGAAAUGAAAUCUAUGGUGAGAAUGUGCAGUAGGUCAAACCUUGAAAGCCUAAAGCAGCAGCCUCAACAACAGAGUUUUGUUUCUCCAAGGACUGGUCAGAUGGGGUCUCAGGACUGGGCCCCCUCUCUGUACCAUGCUCCGGUGGGGUGGGGGUGGGGACACUUACUCUUGUGUUCACAUUGCUGAACAACCCUCCUCUGCUGGACCCCCAUCCCACCUAGCUGAUGUGCCUGUCUUCUAUUAAGCUUGCUCUAAUGAAGCUCAACUCUACAGUCAUCUGUCCUGUAGAGGGACUUAGAUGAGUCAAUAUAUGACAUUCAAUUACACAGUCGACUCGGAGCUUCCCUAUGUCUGUGUUCUUGUGAGGAUAGAAGCACCUCUGUUGUGAUGACCUCAGUCUACCUGCGCUCAUAGGUUCAUGGGCACUGGUCUUCUGGAAACCUGUCUACACCAAGAAAUGAGACUGAAAAAUAGGAGCCUCAAUAAAUCACAUGCCAUGGAAAAGUACAGAUCCUUCGAGGAUGUCACCAUUACCUAGGGCUACAAGAAGUCUGCGUGCUGUGUCCUUCAGAAUACUGUCCUUGGACCGGACUGAAGUUUCAGUGUCUCAACAGUCCUGGUCAUACGAUUCCGAAGUCAUGAAGCCACUACUUGGAAUGAACUAUUUAUAAAAUAAGGGAACCCCUCACCCACAGAGUAAGAGUAUGUUUGACAGCAAACGCAUACCUGUGCAGAUGGAUAUUUUCGUUCCAUUAGCUGUGGCCUUCUGGAAGUGAGCAAACUUGGCUGUGGUUUAACUGCCCUUAUUUUAUCUGACAAAACCUACUACCCCUUGCACAGUCCCAACCAGUGGGGGCCGGUUUGACUUCAAGCAUUUUCCACGAAUCAACCACAUUUGACAGAGCACAUAGACCAGAAAAACCCUGAGAAAACAAAACACCAGCCCCUUCCUGCCCCCCACACUGUCCCCUGCACCACCGCCCUCCCCGUCUCUGCACCUGCCAGUCCAGGGCUGCCCAGGUUGGGUUGGGGAAGGGAGGGGCUGAGGAUUGGAAACCACAGGGGACACUGGCUAGGAGUGCCCGGCACUGAAAUCAGCCCACACGGCUUUCAGUCAUUUGCUAGUUUCCCUUGUUUGCCUCUGUGCUUUCCACAUGCAGAAACAGUUCCAGAUCUCUAAGUAGAGGCCCAGGUAUUUGCCCUAAAGAGGUCUGGUCAAAUUCCCGAGAAUCAAGUAGAUGGAAAUUAAAUUUCCUCUUCCUUGUAUCUGGUGGGUCUUGUGUUGUUUCCCCUUGGGAACCUGUAUUUGGUCUCCAAAGCCACCUAUGUCACAGAAACUGAAGCUGAUUGCAAAUAAACAAAAAAAAAAAAUCCUUUCCAAUUUUAAA
Molecule: long non-coding RNA, 1873 nt
Organism: Neofelis nebulosa (Clouded leopard)
Lineage: Eukaryota; Metazoa; Chordata; Mammalia; Carnivora; Felidae
Exons: 2
Source: RefSeq, a predicted model, not a curated record